RNAcentral lists this ribosomal RNA (485 nucleotides) under uncultured bacterium. RNAcentral's name for it is "partial 16S ribosomal RNA". It matches the Rfam family "Bacterial small subunit ribosomal RNA", at positions 899 to 1397 of the family's 1533-position model. The record is from RNAcentral.
ACUCAAAUGAAUUGACGGGGACCCGCACAAGCGGUGGAGCGUGUUGUUUAAUUCGAGGAUAAGCGAAGAACCUUACCAGGGUUUGACAUCCCGGGAAAGUCUCCGAAAGGAGACCGUGCCUUCGGGAACCCGGUGACAGGUGUUGCAUGGCCGUCGUCAGCUCGUGUCGUGAGAUGUUUGGUUAAGUCCAUCAACGAGCGCAACCCUUAUAGUUAGUUGAAUUUCUCUAGCUAGACUGCCCCGGUAACGGGGAGGAAGGAGGGGAUGAUGUCAGGUCCGUAUUACCCUUACACCCUGGGCUACAAACACGCUACAAUGGCCGGUACAAAGGGCAGCCAACCCGCAAGGGGGAGCAAAUCCCAUCAAAGCCGGUCUCAGUUCGGAUUGUCGGCUGAAACUCGUCGGCAUGAAGCUGGAAUCGCUAGUAACGGUAGGGCAGCUUUACUACCGUGAAUACGUUCCCGGGUCUUGUACACACCGCCCGU